This 253-nucleotide ribosomal RNA is filed under the name uncultured bacterium. RNAcentral's name for it is "partial 16S ribosomal RNA". It matches the Rfam family "Bacterial small subunit ribosomal RNA", at positions 524 to 776 of the family's 1533-position model. The record is from RNAcentral.
UACGUAGGGUGCAAGCGUUGUCCGGAAUUAUUGGGCGUAAAGAGCUCGUAGGCGGUCUGUCGCGUCGGAUGUGAAAAUCCAGGGCUUAACCCUGGACCUGCAUUCGAUACGGGCAGACUAGAGUUCGGUAGGGGAGACUGGAAUUCCUGGUGUAGCGGUGAAAUGCGCAGAUAUCAGGAGGAACACCGGUGGCGAAGGCGGGUCUCUAGGCCGAUACUGACGCUGAGGAGCGAAAGCGUGGGGAGCGAACAGG